AUUGAACGCUGGCGGCAGGCUUAACACAUGCAAGUCGAGCGGGGUGAUGGUGCUUGCACUAUCACUUAGCGGCGGACGGGUGAGUAAUGCUUAGGAAUCUGCCUAUUAGUGGGGGACAACAUCUCGAAAGGGAUGCUAAUACCGCAUACGUCCUACGGGAGAAAGCAGGGGAUCACUUGUGACCUUGCGCUAAUAGAUGGGCCUAAGUCGGAUUAGCUAGUUGGUGGGGUAAAGGCCUACCAAGGCGACGAUCUGUAGCGGGUCUGAGAGGAUGAUCCGCCACACUGGGACUGAGACACGGCCCAGACUCCUACGGGAGGCAGCAGUGGGGAAUAUUGGACAAUGGGGGGAACCCUGAUCCAGCCAUGCCGCGUGUGUGAAGAAGGCCUUAUGGUUGUAAAGCACUUUAAGCGAGAGGAGGCUCUUUUGGUUAAUACCCAAGAUGAGUGGACGUUACUCGCAGAAUAAGCACCAGCUAACUCUGUGCCAGCCGCCGCCGUAA
RNAcentral lists this ribosomal RNA (502 nucleotides) under uncultured bacterium. Its description in RNAcentral is "partial 16S ribosomal RNA". It matches the Rfam family "Bacterial small subunit ribosomal RNA", at positions 30 to 523 of the family's 1533-position model. The record is from RNAcentral.